GACGGACGCUGGCGGCGUGCUUAACACAUGCAAGUCGAACGGAAAGGCCCUGCUUUUGUGGGGUGCUCGAGUGGCGAACGGGUGAGUAACACGUGAGUAACCUGCCCUUGACUUUGGGAUAACUUCAGGAAACUGGGGCUAAUACCGGAUAGGAGCUCCUGCUGCAUGGUGGGGGUUGGAAAGGUUCGGCGGUUGGGGAUGGACUCGCGGCUUAUCAGCUUGUUGGUGGGGUAGUGGCUUACCAAGGCUUUGACGGGUAGCCGGCCUGAGAGGGUGACCGGCCACAUGGGGCCUGAGAUACGGCCCAGACUCCUACGGGAGGCAGCAGUGGGGAAUAUUGCACAAUGGGCGGAAGCCUGAUGCAGCAACGCCGCGUGCGGGAUGACGGCCUUCGGGUUGUAAACCGCUUUCGCCUGUGACGAAGCGUGAGUGACGGUAAUGGGUAAAGAAGCACCGGCUAACUACGUG
This 468-nucleotide ribosomal RNA is filed under the name uncultured bacterium. RNAcentral describes it as "partial 16S ribosomal RNA". It matches the Rfam family "Bacterial small subunit ribosomal RNA", at positions 28 to 507 of the family's 1533-position model. The record is from RNAcentral.